Long non-coding RNA from Mytilus californianus (California mussel), 1931 nucleotides. RefSeq lists it as uncharacterized. NCBI's taxonomy places the organism in Eukaryota, Metazoa, Mollusca, Bivalvia, Mytilida, Mytilidae. The record is from RefSeq and is a predicted model, not a curated record. The transcript has 2 exons.
GUAGCCAAGUUGUAGAAUAAACACUAAACAUGAUCUGAUUAGAAUACAGAUCAUAUAUGCACGCUUCGCAUACACGUUUCUGACAACACCCUGCUCUACGUUCUCAUGUUUCUGUUCUGGUAUUUACAACAUCAGCCAUUGAAAUUCCUGCUUACAAGUUUGAGUAUCAUUACGUCAAAACAAGAGGAUUCCGGAAGGUCUAUAAAACGAAAAGUAGGACGAAGCGUAGUAAAACCCUUGUUCGCGAAGAAUGGAACCUGAUUUGUAUAUCAGAUUGAUCAAGCAUAUACAUUUCAUAAACUGAUUGUUCCGUAAGGAAGUCUAAUUGGAGUCAAACAUCUAUCGAUUGUUUGUUUUUAGAUUAGUUCUUGCCACUCUUUAGCAACUACAAUAUUUCAUCAAAUAACUCAAUAAUUACAAACGGUAAACUCCUGGAUUUUUGCAAUGUUUUAAUAUCUUAUUUCGAAAAGACUACGAGAUAAGGAACGAAUUUCUUAAGAAAUACUUAAAAAUCGAUUUUUAGAUUCUUAAAGAAAAUCCUUUAAAACAAAGAUAUAACUGACAGUUAUAGAGAUAAAUAUAAAAAUAAGAAGAUGUGGUAUAAUUGCCAAUGAGACAACUCUCCACCAGAGACCAAAUGACAUAAGUAAACAACUAUAGUUUACCGUACGGCCUUCAACAAUGAGCAAAACCAUAACCGUAAAGGCCCAGAAAUACAAAGACCAUAAAAAACCACAAAUAUCAAAGCCUACAUGUAUACAAGAAACACAUAUAUACAAAGACCACAUAGAUACAAAGACCACAACAUAUAUACAAAUACCAUAUGUAUACAAAAUCACAUAUAUACAAAGAACACAUAUAUACAAAGACCACAUAUAUUUAAGAUACCAUUAUUUGAAUGCUGUAUUUAAUGAAUUCUCUAUAAUUAACUUAGUUUGUUUUUAUCUGAUCAAAUAAUUAUGAAAUUAUAGUGCAUUUAAAACAGGAAUUAUUUGCAAUUUUGAUUAAAUCUAGAACACAUGCUCGAAAAUCCGAAUAGACCUAAGCAGGAAUAUUUAUCAAGCCUAUUGUCAUUCAUUUACUGCGAAUAUCAAUGAAAAUGAAAUUUGAUUUUUAUUACUUGCAGGUAACCAGGUUAAACGUUCAGAUACUAGUAGUACUGUUCCUAUUUUAGCACCUGUGUGUAGUGUAGUGGCUGUACUGGUUGUUUUUUUUUGUACAUUAAUUGUGUAUUUUAGACGUAAAAGAAAACGACCUGAUUACGAGACGCCCACAGCGACGAUUGACAGUCAUAUUUACUAUACUACAGAUUCUGGAGACAGUCACGUGUAUAUGGAGGUGAACGAUGUAACACAAAUAUGAACAUAGCUUAUUGCUUAAAUGGAAAUUGUCCUCACAGUUCUUGAAACUACUCUACUUGACAAAAUAUCAGCUAGUUAUCACAUUGUUAUACUAGCAUACAAAACAAUAUAAUUUGUGCAUGCUUUCCGAAUUUCUGCAGUGUUGAUAGUGACGGUGUACAUAUGUAGCAUUAUAUAUCAAAGAUCAAAAGUCAAUUCACGAGCAGGAAUAAUGAAAAUCCGCAUUCAAAAUGUGCUUGUGUUGUAUUCUGAUUACGUUAUAUUAAUUUAAAAAUUUUAUCCCAUCCUUGGUUCAUAUUUUCUUUUUCAACAUUCAUAGUUUGUAUUAUAGCCAGUAAAUUGUACGCUUUUCAUGCAUAUUGUUAUAUAUAUUUUAAUAUUGUAUUAUGGAGAAGACUGCAUAAGUGCAUUUGACUUGUGUCUAAUACAGUUUGCCAAAAUUUUGCAAAAAUGAAAUAUCUUUAAAUCAAAAGCAGUCUGAGGUACAGUGGCUGACAUUUGAGUAAACGAAGGCGUUAUUUAUAUUAUUUAUUUUUUUUAUAUUAGAAAUUACAAUAAGAUCACAUUGGA